GAUAAACGCUGGCCGGCGGCGACAUAAGACAUGCAAGUCGAACGAACUUAACCAGUUAGUUUACGUAUUAGGGAGCGGUUAAGUGGGCGGACUGGUGAGUAACACGUAAGCAACCUGCCUAUCAGAGGGGAACAACAGUUAGAAAUGACUGCUAAUACCGCAUAUGCCUUAGAACCACAUGGUUCAAAAGGGAAAGGAGCAAUCCGCUGAUAGAUGGGCUUGCGUCUGAUUAGCUAGUUGGUGGGGUAACGGCCUACCAAGGCAACGAUCAGUAGCCGAACUGAGAGGUUGAACGGCCACAUUGGGACUGAGAUACGGCCCAG
Molecule: ribosomal RNA, 323 nt
Filed under: uncultured bacterium
Lineage: Bacteria
Description: bacterial SSU rRNA
Rfam family: Bacterial small subunit ribosomal RNA
Source: RNAcentral